UACGCGAACCCCAAGCGUUAUCCGGAUUUAUUGGGCGUAAAGGGUGUGUAGGCGGCUCUGUUAGUCUUUUGUCAAAGACCUCAGCUCAACUGAGGAAUGGCAGAGGAAACGGCAGAGCUCGAGGAUGCGAGAGGUGUGCGGAACUCAUGGUGUAGAGGUGAAAUUCGUUGAUACCAUGGGGAACACCAAAGGCGAAGGCAGCACACUGGCGCAUUCCUGACGCUGAGGCACGAAAGCCAGGGUAGCGAACGGG
This 253-nucleotide unclassified non-coding RNA is filed under the name uncultured Parcubacteria group bacterium. RNAcentral describes it as "contains 16S-23S intergenic spacer region". It matches the Rfam family "Bacterial small subunit ribosomal RNA", at positions 524 to 776 of the family's 1533-position model. The record is from RNAcentral.